GCCUACGGGGCGCAGCAGUGGGGAAUAUUGCACAAUGGGGGAAACCCUGAUGCAGCGACGCCGCGUGAAGGAUGAAGUAUUUCGGUAUGUAAACUUCUAUCAGCAGGGAAGAAAAUGACGGUACCUGACUAAGAAGCCCCGGCUAACUACGUGCCAGCAGCCGCGGUAAUACGUAGGGGGCAAGCGUUAUCCGGAUUUACUGGGUGUAAAGGGAGCGUAGGUGGCAUGGCAAGCCAGAAGUGAAAACCCGGGGCUUAACCCCGCGGAUUGCUUUUGGAACUGUCAGGCUGGAGUGCAGGAGGGGG
This 305-nucleotide ribosomal RNA is filed under the name uncultured bacterium. RNAcentral describes it as "bacterial SSU rRNA". It matches the Rfam family "Bacterial small subunit ribosomal RNA", at positions 337 to 658 of the family's 1533-position model. The record is from RNAcentral.